Sapajus apella (tufted capuchin) is the source of this 289-nucleotide long non-coding RNA. RefSeq lists it as uncharacterized. Lineage: Eukaryota; Metazoa; Chordata; Mammalia; Primates; Cebidae. The record is from RefSeq and is a predicted model, not a curated record. The transcript is spliced from 2 exons.
ACUACAGAGAAAUUACUUAAGCAUUUGGUGAUACCAUUUUUUUUUUUUUUGCCUGAAAUACUAUAAUAGUAUAAUAAAGGGAAUCUUUUAUUUCUUAACAGAUUUAAAGUAUGGAAUAAGUCAACAUAUUCUGGCAAUUUCAAAAACAGCUGAAAAAUAAGAAUUGCCUUUUAAAAAUACUUUCAUGGAAAUUUAAACUCUCACAUUACUAUGAGAAUGCAAAAAUUACCAACUCAAAAACAAGUUUUGGCAAGUUUUUUGAGACCCUGUCUGGAAAAAAAAAAAAAAA